CUUUUUGGAUGUCUCCUCUUCAAGUGCUGGUUUCUCUUCAAAUAAUAGUUCGUUAGGUGUUUCUUCCCGUUUUGGUUCUUCAGGUGCUUCUUCAGUUAUUGGUUUUGCAGCUUUCUCCUCAAUUGUCUCCUCAACCAAUGGUUCUUCAAGCUUCUCUUCCAUUGUUGUUUCUUUAGGUUUCUCUUCAAUUGCCGGUGGUUCAGGUUUUUUCUCAUCCACUGGUUCUUCUGGCUUCUCUGAAACUGCUGUUUCUUCUGAUUUCUCUUCAAUUGCUUGUUCUUCAUGUUUUUUUUCAACUACUGGCUCUUCAGUUUUUUCCUCAACUGAUGCAUAGUCAGCAAUGUCGUUGGUAUUGCAUGGAAUUGCAUUGUCUGUCUUGUCCUUUGAGUUUACAAUUGGCAAAUUAUGCAAGAAAAUUUUAAGUUUCAUUUAGUCUUUCAACAGAUAAACUUAUGUAAAUUCGUUGCACAUAUAAAGCUAAUAUGAUGGAUAGUUUUUAUGACAGUGUUUAUUUGUCACCUUCUCCUGAAGAGCUUCUGUUUCAGGUUCUUCCUCUUCAAUUGCUGGUUUUUCAUCUUUCUUUUCAACAACUAGUUCUUCAGAUGUGUCUUCAACUGUUGGUUCUUCAGGUUUCUCUUCAAGAGCUAGUUCUUCAGGUGUUUCCUCCCCUGCAAGCUCUUCAGGUGUUUCUAUAGUCGCCGGUUCUUCAGGUUUCUCUGUAAUCUCUAGUUCAGGUUUCUCCUCAACUGGUACUUCAGAUUUCUCCUCAAAUGUUGGUUCUUCAGGUUUCUCCUUAAUAGCUGGUACACCAGGUUUCUCUUCAAUGAGUGGUUCUUCAGUUUUUUCUUCAACUGCCGAUUCUUCAGGAUUUUCCUCACUGUCUGGAGAGUGUGCAACAUCAUUAUUGGUAUUGCAUGGGAUUUCACUGCCAGUUUUUUCGUUCGAGUCUACAAUUAGCAUAUUCUGCAAAAAGAAUUUAAUGUUUCACUUAGCCUUUCAAUAAAGAUGCAGAUGUGAAUCAUAGUACAUACAUAACUAACAAAAUGGAUAAACUUUGUGAUAGUGCUUGACCCUUACCUUUUCCAAAAGAGUUACCUUUUCAGGUUUCUCCUCUUCCAUGGCUGGUUCUUCAUGUAUCUCUUCAAAUGCUAGUUCCUUAGGUGUUUCUUCAAUUACUUGUUUUUCAGGUUUCUCCUCAAUUUUUGGUUCUUUGAUUGUCUCCUCAACUGAUGGUACUUCAAGCUUUUCUCCCACGGUUGGUUUUUCAGGUUUCUCUUCAACUGUCGGUUGUUCAGGUAUUUUCUCAACCGCUGGUUCUUCUGGUUUCCCCGAAACCCUUGAUUCUUCAGAUUUUUCUUCAAUUGCUGAUUCUUCAGAUAUCUCUUCAACUAUUGCUUCUUCAGUUUUUUCCUCAACUGAUGCAUAGUCAGCAAUGUCAUUGUUGGUAUUGCAUGGAAUUGCAUUGUCUAUUGUGUUCUUUGAGUUUACAAUUGGAAAAUUCUGCAAGAAAAUUUAAAGUUUCAUCUAGUCUUUCAAUAGAUAAACAUGUAAAUGCGUUG
Molecule: long non-coding RNA, 1559 nt
Filed under: Solanum tuberosum (potato)
Lineage: Eukaryota; Viridiplantae; Streptophyta; Magnoliopsida; Solanales; Solanaceae
Description: long non-coding RNA (STUB_LNC003301)
Source: RNAcentral